AGUGAACGCUGGCGGUAGGCCUAACACAUGCAAGUCGAACGGCAGCACAGUAAGAGCUUGCUCUUACGGGUGGCGAGUGGCGGACGGGUGAGGAAUACAUCGGAAUCUACUUUUUCGUGGGGGAAAAGGAAGGGAAAUUAAGGUAAUAACGCAUACGGACUAAGGGGGGAAAGCAGGGGUCUUCGGAACUUGGGGGGAUGGAUGAAGCGAUGUCGGAUUAGCUAGUUGGCGGGGUAAAGGCCCACCAAGGCGACGAUCCGUAGCUGGUCUGAGAGGAUGAUCAGCCACACUGGAACUGAGACACGGUCCAGACUCCUACGGGAGGCAGCAGUGGGGAAUAUUGGACAAUGGGCGCAAGCCUGAUCCAGCCAUACCGCGUGGGUGAAGAAGGCCUUCGGGUUGUAAAGCCCUUUUGUUGGGAAAGAAAAGCAGCAGGUUAAUACCCCGCUGUUCUGACGGUACCCAAAGAAUAAGCACCGGCUAACUUCGUG
RNAcentral lists this ribosomal RNA (491 nucleotides) under uncultured bacterium. RNAcentral's name for it is "partial 16S ribosomal RNA". It matches the Rfam family "Bacterial small subunit ribosomal RNA", at positions 29 to 507 of the family's 1533-position model. The record is from RNAcentral.